GUGCUCACUUCGGCAGCACAUAUACUAAAAUUGGAACGAUACAGAGAAGAUUAGCACAACUCCUGCGCAAGGAUGACACGCAGAUUUGUGAAGCGUUCCAUAGUUUU
Molecule: small nuclear RNA, 107 nt
Filed under: Tupaia belangeri chinensis (Chinese tree shrew)
Lineage: Eukaryota; Metazoa; Chordata; Mammalia; Scandentia; Tupaiidae
Source: RNAcentral